AACGAACGCUGGCGGCAUGCCUAAUACAUGCAAGUCGAACGAGCCCUUCGGGUCUAGUGGCGCACGGGUGUGUCACGCGUGGGAACCUGCACUUAGGUUCGGCAUAACUCCCCGACAGGGGUGCUAAUGCCGGAUCAUGUCUUCGGCCCAAAGAUUUAUUGCCCUUGGUUGGGCGCGCGUUGGAUUAGCUCGUUAGUAGGGUAAAAGCUUACCACGGCGACGAUUCAUAGCUGGGUUGUGAGGAUGAUCAGCCACACUGGGACUGAGACACGGCCGAGACUCCUACGGGAGGCAGCAGUGGGGAAUAUUGGACAGUGGGCGAAAGCCUGAACCAGCAAUGCCGCGUGAGUGAUGAAGGCCGUAGGGUUGUAAAGCGCUUGUACCCGUGAUGAUAAUGACAGUACCGGGAGAAAAAGCUCCGGCUAACUCCGUG
Molecule: ribosomal RNA, 433 nt
Filed under: uncultured bacterium
Lineage: Bacteria
Description: partial 16S ribosomal RNA
Rfam family: Bacterial small subunit ribosomal RNA
Source: RNAcentral